This 1181-nucleotide unclassified non-coding RNA is filed under the name Zea mays. RNAcentral describes it as "misc RNA Zm00001eb205460". The record is from RNAcentral. Lineage: Eukaryota; Viridiplantae; Streptophyta; Magnoliopsida; Poales; Poaceae.
CACGGCUUUAUCUCCUGGCCACGUCGCCUCUGUCUCCCUCAUGGCGCCUUCCUCUGUGCGCCUCUCCCUGGGGCUGAGCUCCCUCACGCUCAGAUCUCUCCCUUGCUCCUGCAGCUCGCCCUCUCUUCCUCAAGCUCGUCCCCAUGGCCCGGUCCCAGCUUGGCCUCUGCUCCAACUUCCCCAGCCGCACCCAGCCGAGGUCCCUCCCACGUGCACAGCCCCUCACCCAUCUCCCAUGGCCGCACCGCUCCUCUCUCUCGCGCUCGGCCUCUCACCGGCAGAUUCCCUAGUCGUGAGCUCUGGCGCCGGCUGCCCCUUCGUGCUCGUCUCUGGAGCUCGCCCGACCCCAAGCUACGCUCGCCCGUGGCCGUCGAACUUGCUCAAGUCCGGUCAUCCUCAACCUUCGGUCUUUGCUCAUCCCAGCCGAUGCCCAUCUCCCUCCAACUCCAAGCCGAGCUCGUCUCCACUACUCCAGCUGCAAGCCGCCGGCCAUGGUGCUUUCCCUGGCGGCCAUCCGGUUAUGCGUCGUUGUGCCUUUGGUCUUGCUCAUUGUCGAACGCCAUUACCUCGCCGACCGCGACCCUAUCUCCGUUCUUCAAGUCGCCCAGCCCUCUGUUGGGUCCGCUAGCGACGACCGUCGUAGAGCGCUGCUCGACCUCCUCCAUGCACGAACAGCAGCAACCUCGAGCCUCCUCUGCGUCGUGCCAUCGACCCGCUCGAUGGAAUGCCGCAGCGAGCUCUACCCGAUCUGCAAUGCCUGCGCACCAUCGUCGAAAUCCCCGCAACCGUGUUGAUUCGCAACAACACGUCGUCGAUCUAGAAUCCCUAGCCUUGUGGUCGACCAUGCCCUCCAUCGAUGUCGUGCCUUGCGCAUCGCUUGCUCAACAGAAGCCUCACUCAUGAACGACAUGCAUGACUCAUUCGAUCCCUCUUGGGUUCUUAUCGUUUAACCGUCGCCUCGCCUCGAUGCCGGCUCCUACAUAACGUCUACAACUUGUGUUCAUGCCAAAAAUCCGAGAAGAUUAGGCGUAGAAGGAAACAAAUCAGUACGCAGCCGGAAAAUCCUCGAUGUGGAUGGAGAAGGUAGUGAAGUCCGCGUGGUGCUCACCACGUGCUCGAAGUAAUGGCGAGAUCAGAAAUCAUGGUUGUGUUCAUGGCCUUCGAGACAAAUUAAAUUAUUG